AAAAUGCGAAAAGUAAUGCGAAUUGCAUUCUUCGUGAAUCAUUAAAUCUUUGAACGCAACUUGCACCUUUUGACUUGUCAACAGGUAUACUUGUUUGAGUAUCGAAUCACCUCCUCACUCUUACCCUUCUAUGCACUCAAUCUUUGGAGAGAGUGCCCGGUUGGAGAUGAGUGGACCUGAGAUUCUCACUGAGGAAACUCGUGCUGUGAGUAUCUUCAAAUGUAGGCCUUGUGAAAAGAGUCUUACUCUAAUGGGAUAAGGCGAUCUAACCAUCGUCAUCAUUAGCAGUGAGGUUACCUCUUUUCGGAUACUGGCUACCGGAUGGGCCGUGAGGCAAGUGUCAUGCUUAGCCUCCAGCCAAUAUCAUUGAUCAGGGAGACCUGGUUGAUUGAUUCAAUCG
RNAcentral lists this unclassified non-coding RNA (400 nucleotides) under uncultured fungus. RNAcentral describes it as "sequence contains ITS1". The stretch from base 1 to 104 matches the Rfam family "5.8S ribosomal RNA", at positions 50 to 154 of the family's 154-position model. Lineage: Eukaryota; Fungi. The record is from RNAcentral.